AGAGGGUGCAAGCGUUGUUCGGAAUUAUUGGGCGUAAAGCGCGUGUAGGCGGCUUAGCAAGUCGGGCGUGAAAGCCCUCGGCUCAACCGAGGAAGUGCACCCGAAACUGCUGAGCUUGAGUGCCGGAGAGGAUGGCGGAAUUCCCCAAGUAGAGGUGAAAUUCGUAGAUAUGGGGAGGAACACCGGUGGCGAAGGCGGCCAUCUGGACGGUAACUGACGCUGAGACGCGAAAGCGUGGGUAGCAAACAGGAUUAGAUACCCUGGUAGUCCACGCCGUAAACGAUGAGAACUAGAUGUCGCGGGUGUUGACCCCUGCGGUGUCGCAGCUAACGCAUUAAGUUCUCCGCCUGGGAAGUACGGUCGCAAGAUUA
RNAcentral lists this ribosomal RNA (371 nucleotides) under uncultured bacterium. Its description in RNAcentral is "bacterial SSU rRNA". It matches the Rfam family "Bacterial small subunit ribosomal RNA", at positions 527 to 896 of the family's 1533-position model. The record is from RNAcentral.